ACUUUUUCUCAAAGUAUAUUUUAACUGUGAAAACAAAAACAACAACAACAAACCAUUCACAUUCUCUGUGUAUUAUGGUUUUUGAAACCAUCAGUCUUUUGGCAGUAAUUCAAUAAAUGUGCUAUCGCCUCUUUAAAACCAAACCAUCAAAAUGUGCUUGAAAUUGCAGCUGUGUGCUGGGUGUUUUCUGAUUUUCUUUGAAUUGGUCUGACCAUCCCCAUAAGCCAUGUAAUGAGAAAAGAAACCAGCAAACUGCUGAGAAAUAGUACAGAAUGUUCUUUCUGGUUGGGAACUCAUAUUUUUACAUAUAUCAAAAAAAAAUGGGGCUGUCAGCUGAAUCAAGGUUAGGCAAUCCGUAUACAGAAAUCAGAUUUUUCUUUGAUGCUUGCGGUCCUUGAAGAGUAUCAUCUGUUUUUGGUAACUGCUGACUUGAGAAGGUGGCAGUGUAUGAUUACAUCUGGAAGGACCAUGCCAGCAAGUCUGGUGUCCCCAUCUGUGACCUCCAGCACCAGGAUGGAAUCUUUGACUCGGCAGCUACCUCAAGAGGUACCACUGUUCACAUGUCGGUGUUCACCGUACACCUCAGCGGUUUCCAGCAACUCUACAGACACUUCCUCAGGCUGCCUGAUGGGGCUAUUGUUGAGGCAUUUGGUGAUAUUACUGGAAUAAGUCUUCUGUGUAAUGAAGUGAGCACAGCUCAGGAACACGUAAAUAAAAUGGACAGUAUGCUUCAUAGAUCUUCAGAUACCAAGUUGAAGAAGAGAAAGAGGAGUGUGGCUAGGUGGAAAGGAAAUCACGUUGCUUCCAAUAAGAGCUAAUUCCUGGAGGACUGCAUAGUUCACAGAAUUAUUUACACCCUGAUUUACAUCCAUACUAUGAUUACUGUCUGACAGGAUUUAUGGUUCUGAUGUCCACACUUCUGUGCAUACAGAAUUGUCCUGCAAAUGCACCAUUCAUUACUCUUCUAUAGCUUCAACUAACGUUUCACUGUGGGGAGCUCAUUGGAUCUGUUCAUAGAUCUGAUAUCUAGUAAUUUUAUAAGACUUUUCCUUCCAGAUAGUGGGACAUUCCCACACUUCUCGGGUUUGCUUAUACCUGCUUUCCACUGUAGUGGUAGGGAAAAUGUUGCUGAUUUCUUUCAAGUUUCAUGAAUCAAACAUUGCUGGUGUUUUCAGUAAUUGUUCAAAAACACAACACUAUAGUAAUUGCAAGGUUACAAAGAUUCCUAGAAAAGGAGCAAUGAUGGCUUCAUGCCAUGAAAUACCACAGGUUCUGAAGCCAAGUCCCAACAGGCUGCGAAAUUUAUGAGAUCCCAGAGGAGAACAUCUUGCUGGGGUCUUAAUGUUAAUCAAACCUACUUCUCUGGAAGUUACAACAACUUAAAGCCUCACGUUUUCUUAUCAGUAUUCAAGUAUUUCUCAUUAGUUUGAACCAGUCAGUGCCUAUUCUAUUUGGCUUCACGCAACUGCAUAAGAAACGGAAGUCCAUGCCCCAAGGCAAGGACUACAAAAGACAGCAGAAGGAGAUGGUGGGAAGAGGAACAGAAGCAAAAAAGGUGAAGUCAUUCUUCCAAGGUCAUGGAAGUCAGCAGCAAAUGAAGAAAUAGAUGGCAGACAGCCCAUGCCCUGACUCCUGGUAUUCCCUGUGCUAGAAUCCUUUUUGUCCUAAAAAUUCAGACAGAAAAAGGAAGAGUCUUAGUUUUCUGCAAUUUUGAAUCAUUCAUGUGGAACAGUUAGUUAAUCAAAUAACAUAAGUAUUGGUGACAUUUUUCCAACUAGUAUGUUUUUCUGGUGUCUGUGUGUUUACACUGAUCUGUAAAAACUUUUUCAGAUGCACUUAACUUUGUAAGAUAUAUCCUGAUGUUUUAAACAUUGUUGAUUAAUUUUGUUAUGUACAUCUAUGGUUCUUAUCCAUCUGAAUAAUUUUUAAAUGUUGUUAGGUAGCAACCUGGAGAUUUAAAUGUCAAUCCUGAAAACACUAUUUCUUUGGGUUUGCAGUGUAAUGAUUUGGUUUCCAUUUUUUCCUACUUCUAAUUGACUUGUGAGCGUACAUGUGUGUGUGUUACAUUAUGAAAGAAUGGUGUUAAAAUUAUUCUGAAUACCUAUAAGCAGUGAUUUAAUUGCUGUGGGUUCUAUUGCAUCAGGUAUCACUUGGAUAGCUUCUGUCCAUCAUACAGGAAUAAAAUUGCCUUAUUCA
Non-coding RNA from Anas platyrhynchos (mallard), 2196 nucleotides. NCBI's taxonomy places the organism in Eukaryota, Metazoa, Chordata, Aves, Anseriformes, Anatidae. The record is from RefSeq and is a predicted model, not a curated record.